CUCUUUUACUCCCUCUCUCAUUCUCCCAUCCCUCUUUCUCUCCCUCUCUCUAUCCUCUUUCUCUCUGUUUAACUCUUGUCUCCUCUCCUUUGCCUUGUUAUCACUGCAGACAAAGAAACUUUAUACACACACACACACACACACACACACACACACACACACACCCAGAGGCACAUUGAGUUAUUUCUGCAACACACUCUUUUAACAAAAAUACCAACCAAAUGCCACCCAAACCAAGCAAUCUGCUGCUAUAUGCAUAACAAAAGGGCCUAACGUAUCCAUCAUUUAAUUUGGACCUUUAGAUCGUUCAAUACUGACUGGUGAUUGUGUGAAUGGGACAGAUUGCUGUUGUAAGACCCUCUGGAAGAAUCGGAUUGGCAGACAAUGAUCAUGUUCAUUCUAAGGGUCGUUCUAAGGAAUCAAAAUUAAUAUAGUUUCACAUUGUGUCAAUGUUUUUCACUUUCUUCCCAGAAGUUUGCUGUGAUGGGGGGGGGGGGGUCACAGUCCUUUAAAAACCUUGGGUCAUCAAACUUUCUCUGGAAGUGAACAUGAGACCUAAGACAGCUGCAGUUGCUCUAAGUUCUUACUGUUAUUUAUGUGACUUGGGGUUAGAAGAGCAUCUGCAUCGAACUAUAGACUGAUACCAACUGUUGUUGUCUUAGUUUGUUAUCAGUUAGAUUUUCUGGGUUUCGCGCACAACUAGAGUUAGAAGAUACUCUGCUGCUGUUUAACUGACUCUCUCUCUCACACACACCAUCUCUCUGUGCCAACUAUGUGUGUGUGAGAGAGAGGGGGGUUAUUGACUUUUCCUGUGUGGAAAAUAACCAGGAUUCUGACAGUACUGCGGGAUUACUACAGCCAUAGAGUACUGAUCCUCUUCCUGCUCUGUCUCCCUAUUGGAAUCUCUCUAUUGUCUAGAUUUGAUCAAUUUGUGUGUGUGUGUGUGUGUGUGUGUGUUGUAGGACAGUGGAGUUGUGUACGUUUUUUGGCGUCUAGUCUGGAGAAUAACAGGAACACUUCUUAGGUUCCUCCUUCCUGUGAGGUCAGAGGUCAGGAGGAAGUUGAUCAUGUGUCAUAUCUCACCAGACAUUCCUCCAUGUUUGUUUUCUCUGGGAGUCAUCUGGAACUUUCUAUCUAGCCAGAUGAGAAUGUGAAACAAUGUUAUCCCCUCUUCUUCUUUCUCUCUGACCGCGCUGCCCAUUCUGUUACUGAAGACCGACCCCCUCGGCCAAGAUAACUGCGGGGGGUUAAAGAAGACGGACUAUGGACUCUGCUUCCUGUAUCUGCCCAUGCACAGCCCUCUGAGUCUGUGCAACAUCGCUGUUCUUCCUACAUCGCUGAGGAAGGUCAAGAUGUGUGCUACAAACUCACCUCUUCCGAAGAGAAUGCUUGAAUCAGUUUUCCUUUGGGUUCAUUAAAACAUCUCCAGUACCACUGGAUCCCAGCUCAGCCCACUCUCUGGAGAGAGGAACAAUCUUGGUUCAACUCAACCCUUGGCUACAAUAACACUGUAGCAGAAACCUUACUGGAAUAAAACUGGAGAUGACUACAA
Long non-coding RNA from Salmo salar (Atlantic salmon), 1552 nucleotides. RefSeq lists it as uncharacterized. The record is from RefSeq and is a predicted model, not a curated record. NCBI's taxonomy places the organism in Eukaryota, Metazoa, Chordata, Actinopteri, Salmoniformes, Salmonidae.